Long non-coding RNA from Lutra lutra (Eurasian river otter), 350 nucleotides. RefSeq lists it as uncharacterized. Lineage: Eukaryota; Metazoa; Chordata; Mammalia; Carnivora; Mustelidae. The record is from RefSeq and is a predicted model, not a curated record. The transcript is spliced from 3 exons.
CAGGGAAAUAAAUUUGAUACAUAUCAACCAGGACCAUUUCCACUUCAUCAACUUUAUCUCCUACCACUAAGUAUGUGGGCACUGUUAGUCCCAUCUUACAGAGGAGACAUCUGAGGCUCAAUGAAAGGUGGCUGGUGCCAUACUUUCUGACUUGGUAAAGUGUGGGAAAUCAGAUGCUCUUCUGCGCUACUUUGGUGGAGAAUUCAAUGCUUGUCACUGGUUUAGCUCUUUCUUAUCAACUUCAUUCUCAUGGACUCACCAGGUCCAUUAUCUUACCAUUUUACUAUCAUGGGCUUUUGUGUUGAAUUCACUAUAUUCUUUUCCUCAUAUGCAUUUUCUUUCAGCACAAG